Molecule: non-coding RNA, 434 nt
Organism: Sus scrofa (pig)
Lineage: Eukaryota; Metazoa; Chordata; Mammalia; Artiodactyla; Suidae
Source: RefSeq, a predicted model, not a curated record
CUGGGUUUUAGCUGGCUCCUUGAAGAACGGAGUUGGCUUCAAAACACUUAACAGGUUUGCUGAAAUCUUUGAAAUUUGACAGUAGGCACUUGGCAAAAGAGAGUCUCUCUUACUUGUGGUUUUCGUGCAAGAUCAGAGACAGGAGCUACAGCAGACAAGAAGCAAAACAUAAUAAUCCUGCAAAGGAAAAUCCUCUACUGGGCCAGCACGGUAGAAUCAUUUAUAAAAGAAUGGAGGAGCUUGAAUUCUUAGAUGCUGAUGAGAGAUGGAAGACACAGAUGAGAGAAGUGAGCCCUAAUGGAACAAGGCUGUGGAGAAGGAAGGCGUGAAGGGAUGGAAGGUGCAGGUUCAUCGAACGGGAAGAGAUGUACUAUUUCUCUGCCUCUGAUGGGAAGGAAGUGAAAUAAACAUGGAUACAGCUAGGUUUGUGGUGA